GAUGAACGCUGGCGGCGUGCCUAAUACAUGCAAGUCGAGCGAACGGACGAGAAGCUUGCUUCUCUGAUGUUAGCGGCGGACGGGUGAGUAACACGUGGAUAACCUACCUAUAAGACUGGGAUAACUUCGGGAAACCGUAGCUAAUACCGGAUAAUAUUUUGAACCGCAUGGUUCAAAAGUGAAAGACGGUCUUGCUGUCACUUAUAGAUGGAUCCGCGCUGCAUUAGCUAGUUGGUAAGGUAACGGCUUACCAAGGCAACGAUGCAUAGCCGACCUGAGAGGGUGAUCGGCCACACUGGAACUGAGACACGGUCCAGACUCCUACGGGAGGCAGCAGUAGGGAAUCUUCCGCAAUGGGCGAAAGCCUGACGGAGCAACGCCGCGUGAGUGAUGAAGGUCUUCGGAUCGUAAAACUCUGUUAUUAGGGAAGAACAUAUGUGUAAGUAACUGUGCACAUCUUGACGGUACCUAAUCAGAAAGCCACGGCUAACUACGUGCCAGCAGCCGCGGUAAUACGUAGGUGGCAAGCGUUAUCCGGAAUUAUUGGGCGUAAAGCGCGCGUAGGCGGUUUUUUAAGUCUGAUGUGAAAGCCCACGGCUCAACCGUGGAGGGUCAUUGGAAACUGGAAAACUUGAGUGCAGAAGAGGAAAGUGGAAUUCCAUGUGUAGCGGUGAAAUGCGCAGAGAUAUGGAGGAACACCAGUGGCGAAGGCGACUUUCUGGUCUGUAACUGACGCUGAUGUGCGAAAGCGUGGGGAUCAAACAGGAUUAGAUACCCUGGUAGUCCACGCCGUAAACGAUGAGUGCUAAGUGUUAGGGGGUUUCCGCCCCUUAGUGCUGCAGCUAACGCAUUAAGCACUCCGCCUGGGGAGUACGACCGCAAGGUUGAAACUCAAAGGAAUUGACGGGGACCCGCACAAGCGGUGGAGCAUGUGGUUUAAUUCGAAGCAACGCGAAGAACCUUACCAAAUCUUGACAUCCUUUGACAACUCUAGAGAUAGAGCCUUCCCCUUCGGGGGACAAAGUGACAGGUGGUGCAUGGUUGUCGUCAGCUCGUGUCGUGAGAUGUUGGGUUAAGUCCCGCAACGAGCGCAACCCUUAAGCUUAGUUGCCAUCAUUAAGUUGGGCACUCUAAGUUGACUGCCGGUGACAAACCGGAGGAAGGUGGGGAUGACGUCAAAUCAUCAUGCCCCUUAUGAUUUGGGCUACACACGUGCUACAAUGGACAAUACAAAGGGCAGCGAAACCGCGAGGUCAAGCAAAUCCCAUAAAGUUGUUCUCAGUUCGGGUUGUAGUCUGCAACUCGACUACAUGAAGCUGGAAUCGCUAGUAAUCGUAGAUCAGCAUGCUACGGUGAAUACGUUCCCGGGUCU
Molecule: ribosomal RNA, 1372 nt
Filed under: uncultured bacterium
Lineage: Bacteria
Description: bacterial SSU rRNA
Rfam family: Bacterial small subunit ribosomal RNA
Source: RNAcentral